ACGGCUAGAUCACGUUAAAACACUGGUUCCUGUACGAUCACCGAAGUUAAGCAACGUUGAGCCUGGUCAGUACCUAAAUGAGUGACCGCUUGGAAAUACAAGGUACUGUAAG
Molecule: non-coding RNA, 112 nt
Organism: Acanthosepion pharaonis
Lineage: Eukaryota; Metazoa; Mollusca; Cephalopoda; Sepiida; Sepiidae
Source: the annotation of a GenBank genome assembly